RNAcentral lists this ribosomal RNA (484 nucleotides) under uncultured bacterium. RNAcentral's name for it is "partial 16S ribosomal RNA". It matches the Rfam family "Bacterial small subunit ribosomal RNA", at positions 29 to 507 of the family's 1533-position model. The record is from RNAcentral.
AUUGAACGCUGGCGGAAUGCUUUACACAUGCAAGUCGAACGGCAGCACGGGGGCAGCCCUGGUGGCGAGUGGCGAACGGGUGAGUAAUACAUCGGAACGUGCCCGGUCGUGGGGGAUAACGUAGCGAAAGAUACGCUAAUACCGCAUACGAACUGAGGAUGAAAGCGGGGGACCUUCGGGCCUCGCGCGAUCGGAGCGGCCGAUGUCAGAUUAGGUAGUUGGUGGGGUAAAGGCCUACCAAGCCGACGAUCUGUAGCUGGUCUGAGAGGACGACCAGCCACACUGGGACUGAGACACGGCCCAGACUCCUACGGGAGGCAGCAGUGGGGAAUUUUGGACAAUGGGCGCAAGCCUGAUCCAGCCAUUCCGCGUGCAGGACGAAGGCCUUCGGGUUGUAAACUGCUUUUGUACGGAACGAAAAGGCUCUGGCUAAUACCUGGGGCUCAUGACGGUACCGGAAGAAUAAGCACCGGCUAACUACGUG